Molecule: long non-coding RNA, 999 nt
Filed under: Musa acuminata (dwarf banana)
Lineage: Eukaryota; Viridiplantae; Streptophyta; Magnoliopsida; Zingiberales; Musaceae
Description: long non-coding RNA (MACU_LNC005399)
Source: RNAcentral
CUGGAUGACUCUGGAUCAUCCAGGGUCAUCCUCCUCGAGCAGGAAGCCCUCUGUAUCUCCCAUGGCAGCGUCGGCAGCUCUUUGACAGGCUUCUUCCACUUUAUCGAUCAGGCGGCAGAACUGAUCUUCCUUGGAAGGUCGAUCAGUUGCCCGGGGGAGAGGGGCCUUUGCGGAGAACAUGAAAGGGGCACCGGAGGGUAUCAGCAGGGAAAUCAGGUGGAGGGUCUGUGAGGAUAACGAAGAGGUUUGUUAUGGGACUGAGAUGGGGUGAGGGGAGAUAGGGUUUUGAAGGAGCGGUGGGGAACGAAAAGGGUGAGGGGUGAGGGAUUCGGAAUGGAAAGAGUUCAAACGAAGGGUUGCCUUGGGAGAGAAGAAGAUACGAUCGGCUGAGAUUUGAUUUGGCACAUCCGAAGAGAUCGAUGCAGAAUGGGCAACUGCCGGACGCGAGAUGCCAGGAUUCACUGCAGUCUGCACGGCUCCACAGGCCGGAGCGACGGUUUGGGGACUCCGUCGACAGCACGAAGUCUGCGCCUCUACUAUGGUGAUGGGUUAUGAUCAUUCUAAUGGGGGCGGUUAUCAAUCUUGGGUCUUUUCUGAACUUUGAUCCUACAGUAGUAGUGUUGGGGACGGAAGAAUGCAUCGGUAUUCCAGUGUUUUUGUUUGCCAGAGCUGUAUUCGUUGGAGCCAUUCUCGUCGGAAGAGAAAGAGAAUAGGUGAGCAUGACACAGACACCCAUGCAAAUCUUCCUCUGGUUUUGGAUGUCAAGAUAGCAUCAAACCUUUAGCAGCUUUUCGAUGCAGGCCGUGAUCUGAAAGAGGAUUUUGGGGCUCAUUAGUUUGAUCGGAAGCCCAAAAAGUUGGGAGCCGAGGUAGGGGUAAACGUCAUUAGGGGCUCAAAGCGUUCACGCCAUGGGAAUAAGUUGAGCACCUGACUUCUAUCUAAGGAACCAUGGAUUGAAAGAGAAAGCACAAAAGUCCUCCUGCAAGAUCCAUAAUCUGA